RNAcentral lists this long non-coding RNA (551 nucleotides) under Rattus norvegicus (Norway rat). Its description in RNAcentral is "long non-coding RNA NONRATT028741". The record is from RNAcentral. Lineage: Eukaryota; Metazoa; Chordata; Mammalia; Rodentia; Muridae.
AAACUGUGCCCAAUCCUUCUAGACCAACCUCCUGGAAAAGUGAAGCGAAUAUGUCCACAGAGAAACGGGAGUCAAGAGUUGAAAGGCCAGAACGGUCUGGGAGAGAAGUCUCAGGGCACACUGUGAGGGGAGCACCCCCUGGGAAUCGGAGUAGUGCCUCAGGCUAUGGAAACCGAGAGGGAGACCGAGGAGUCAUCUCUGACAGAGGAAGUGGAGCUCAGGUAAAGUUGCUGGAAGCUUCCUGUUGAUGCUUACAUUUUCUCUCUUUUUAAAAAUUAAAUUUCUAUUUAUGGGUGUUUUGCCUGCCUAUAUCUGUGUACUAUUUUUAUGCCCUGUGCCUAUGGGAUUCAGGUCUCCUGGAACUAGAGUUCCAGACUGGAUGUUAGAGCUGGGGAUUGAGCUGGGUCCUUGAGAAGAGCAGCUGCUGCUCUUACUGCUGAAUUACAUCAGCCUGGAGAGUUGCCUUUGAGAGUUGUCUUGAUGUUUUCAAGACAGGGUUUCUUUGUUGUAGCCCUGGCUGUUCUGGAACUGGCUCUGUAGACCAGGAUGAC